UACGUAGGAGGCAAGCGUUAUCCGGAUUUACUGGGUGUAAAGGGAGCGUAGACGGCUGUGCAAGCCAGAUGUGAAAGCCCGGGGCUCAACCCCGGGACUGCAUUUGGAACUGUGUAGCUGGAGUGUCGGAGAGGCAGGCGGAAUUCCUAGUGUAGCGGUGAAAUGCGUAGAUAUUAGGAGGAACACCAGUGGCGAAGGCGGCCUGCUGGACGAUGACUGACGUUGAGGCUCGAAAGCGUGGGGAGCAAACAGG
RNAcentral lists this ribosomal RNA (253 nucleotides) under uncultured bacterium. RNAcentral's name for it is "partial 16S ribosomal RNA". It matches the Rfam family "Bacterial small subunit ribosomal RNA", at positions 524 to 776 of the family's 1533-position model. The record is from RNAcentral.